UGGGGAAUUUUGGACAAUGGGGGAAACCCUGAUCCAGCCAUCCCGCGUGUGCGAUGAAGGCCUUCGGGUUGUAAAGCACUUUUGGCAGGAAAGAAACGUCGCGGGUUAAUACCCCGCGAAACUGACGGUACCUGCAGAAUAAGCACCGGCUAACUACGUGCCAGCAGCCGCGGUAAUACGUAGGGUGCAAGCGUUAAUCGGAAUUACUGGGCGUAAAGCGUGCGCAGGCGGUUCGGAAAGAAAGAUGUGAAAUCCCAGAGCUUAACUUUGGAACUGCAUUUUUAACUACCCGGGCUAGAGUGUGUCAGAGGGAGGUGGAAUUCCGCGUGUAGCAGUGAAAUGCGUAGNUAUGCGGAGGAACACCGAUGGCGAAGGCAGCCUCCUGGGAUAACNCUGACGCUCAUGCACGAAAGCGUGGGGAGCAAACAGGAUUAGAUACCCUGGUAGUCCCACGCCCUAAACGAUGUCAACUAGCUGUUGGGGCC
Molecule: ribosomal RNA, 485 nt
Filed under: uncultured bacterium
Lineage: Bacteria
Description: partial 16S ribosomal RNA
Rfam family: Bacterial small subunit ribosomal RNA
Source: RNAcentral